RNAcentral lists this ribosomal RNA (480 nucleotides) under uncultured Flammeovirgaceae bacterium. RNAcentral's name for it is "bacterial SSU rRNA". It matches the Rfam family "Bacterial small subunit ribosomal RNA", at positions 28 to 505 of the family's 1533-position model. The record is from RNAcentral. Lineage: Bacteria; Pseudomonadati; Bacteroidota; Cytophagia; Cytophagales; Flammeovirgaceae.
GAUGAACGCUAGCGGCAGGCCUAAUACAUGCAAGUCGAGGGGUAACAGGAAAGCUUGCUUUCGCUGACGACCGGCGCACGGGUGCGUAACGCGUAUGCAACCUACCUUAUACAGGGGGAUAGCCCAGAGAAAUUUGGAUUAAUACCCCAUGGUACUAUAGAUUGGCAUCAUGAAAUAGUUAAAGAUUUAUCGGUAUAAGAUGGGCAUGCGUUAGAUUAGCUAGAUGGUGAGGUAACGGCUCACCAUGGCAACGAUCUAUAGGGGUUCUGAGAGGAAGAUCCCCCACACUGGCACUGAGAUACGGGCCAGACUCCUACGGGAGGCAGCAGUAGGGAAUAUUGGUCAAUGGAGGCAACUCUGAACCAGCCAUGCCGCGUGAAGGAAGAAGGCCUUCUGGGUUGUAAACUUCUUUUAUAUGGGAAGAAAAAGCAUUGCGAUGUACUAUGACGGUACCAUAUGAAUAAGCACCGGCUAACUCCG